UAAGCACUAAAGCGGAGUUUCCCACACAGGCGCGUGUAUUGGACGCCUCGGGCGGAGCGCGGGCUGGCGCCGAGGACCAACCUUGACAGCGGCGCGCACUAUAAAGCGGCGCGUGCUGCGACCCAAGCACGCUUUGGGGAGAGAAAUGCUGUGAAUAGCCUGCCUCCCAAAGCUACCACCCUUCAGGAAGACGGAAAGUGAAGACUUGCUUGUACUCCCACACCUCCUUGGCCUAGCUGCUGAAGACUAACGAGGCCCGGGGCCCUGGCACCAUCUGCUAUCAACUGCAUUGGAGCCCUGGGUACCUUUACUAGUAUCAGGUGUAGCUUCCAGCUGAGGACCAUCCACUGCCCAGCAAGGUGCUGAAGGUCCUGACCAUCACUUGGUAAGAACGGAGGGGGCUGCCUGUUAUUCGUGGUGAUGGAGAAGGCAGACAUAGACAGGUGCCCAGCAAGUGCUGAGCCAUGUUCUGCCCUAAGCACUGGGCUCAUUAACCUUUUGUAGUAACCCUGUUGUGGGCAGGUUGGGAUGGGGUUUGGGGCUGGGUUGCAGAGAGAUGUCCCAUGUCAGGGUUCUUGAAAGGGCUGCACUUGGGGCCCCAUGAUGUCCAGCACUGGGCUCCGACUGCCCCAGAGGACACGGUGCCCCUCCCCUCAGUGCCUUUUCUGUGUCCUUCACCUGACAGCGUCCCUCCAGGCUCUCUGCUGCUUCCUGCCUAGGCGUGGCUGCAGCCAUGACUAGGAAUGUGCUGGCGUCCACCCACCUGGGCUGGGGCUGGUUCUGCUCGUGCUGCAGGACACUGAGCUCCUGGCUCUCUCGGCACUUGGGGCAGAACUGCAGCCAGCUCUCCUGGGUCCUGCCAGCAUACAGCUGGGAGCCCUGUCUUCUGCCUCAGCUCUUGAGGGCUCCUCCUGCUGCUGGGUGAACUGAUCCAACCUGACAAUGGUGUCAUCUUCAGCUACCACUGCAAGGCCCUGAAGGCAAUAGUGGCACAGCAGUGCCUACCUGGCUUCUGAUAGCCUGGUGACAACUGGGAGACCUCCCUGCACUUUGAGGCCACUGAGCUGCCAUUCCAGCCCCAACCCACCAUGGACAGGGGCAUCCAGCUUCCUCUCCCCUCCUUGUCCUCUGCUCCUGAGCCAGUGAUGCCCAAGGACAUGCCUGUUACCCAGGGCCUGCACCAGUGCCUGCUGGUCAAGGGUAUGAUGGUGCUGGAGGCUGUCCUGGAGAUCCAGACCAUCACCAACAGCAAGCUCAUCUCUAUUGUGCCAGGGCCAGCCAGGCCACCAAGCUCACGCUAGGACCCAACCCAGUGCACCAGGACCUGGCUGCUGAGCCGAGAGCCCAGGAGAAGGUGGAUAAGCUGGGGAUGGAGCCACCACUCCCCGCCUAUUCUGACCAGACCUGUGGGAAGUAGCUGCCCAUGCACCACAGCCAGCCCUGGGCCUGGCUCUGGAGGACAGACACCACCCGGCCUGGUGCUCCAGGGGUAAAGCAGGGAGGCUGGGUUCUGGGGGAGCUGCUCCUGGUGUGAGCUGCAAUCAGGAAGCACGGGACAUGGUAGGGGAGGCAAAAAGCCUUGGCCACUACCCUCCGUGUGUAGCCCUUCAGUGUCCCUUGAGCAAGCCACAGCCUGACACCAUGUUCAAGGGCCCCAGAAGCAAAGGGUGUCUGCCCAAACCCUCCCCUGUGGGUGUCACUGGCCAAACAUCAUGAGGGGAGCAGGCCUUGUGAGUAGACACCAUGAGUCCCUGGGGGGAGUGAUCACGUGCCAUGUUACAUUUCUGCCCAGGCAGCAGGGUAGGUGGGCACAAUGGGUGCCUACCUCUGUCAUAUGGGUCCCCAAAGCACUCCAGGCCAAGCAGGGAGAUCCCACGCCCAUGAUGAAAGCAUCUUCAAGCUUUUCCUCAGUUUUCGUAAGGUUCGUUUUGUUUGUUGCCCAGGCCCAAGUGCAGUGAUGUGACCUCAGCUCACUGCAGUCUCCACCUCCUCGGUUUAAGUGAUUCUCCUGUCUCAGCCUCCGGAGUACCUGGGAUUACAGGCACCCGAUACCACACCCGGUUAAUUUUCUAUUUUUAGUGGAGACAAGGUUUCACCAAUGUUGUCUAGGCUGGUCUUAAACUUCUGACCUCAGGUGAUUCACCCCCCUCAGCCUCUCAUAGUGCUGGGAUUACAGGCAAACAUGCUUUGGCUAUGGGCAGCCGGUCCCUUCUGAUAGGUCUGGUUUCACUGUGUGGCUUGCCUGGUCUGAGUUCUGAGUCUGAAUUUAGGGUGUGUUGGGGCCAGGAUCACAGGUGACAGUUCUGUGAGGGCGCACCAAGCCCUGGCAGUUCUGGCUUCAUAGCUGGGGUCUUGGGCACACAGGCCCAUUAAACAACAGACAUAUACCAUUCCCAGCUGUAGUGCUUAACACUGGGCUCGGGUGGUGCGCUGGGUCUAUGGCGGGGCAAGGGGGAUGCAUACAGGCCCUUUCAGCAGGCUGCUGGGAAAGGGGUGGCACUUGCCACCAGGUGGGAGCUGCCUACAACCACAGGUAGCCCUUCCUGGCACUUUGGGUUUUCAUGAACCUGCAAGGAAGCAGCCAGGCUUCCUCCCAGGGCCAGAAAGCAUGACGGACCUUCAUUCCUUAGGGUUUCUGGGGUCAUAGUCCCUGGCAUCUACUUGGGGGGCCCUGUGACCACCCAGUGCCUCUAGGGAAUGCCGGGCAGGGCAGUGAGGGAGAUCUGGGGGCCCCCUAGGGGUGAGUGUGUGACAGGCUGCCUUCAGGACCCUGGGAAGAAAUGGGCCAGGGGAGUAUGCAGGUGGCCCUGGUGUGGUGAAGAGGUAGUCGCAGCUUCCACCCCCAGCCUUUCUGGACCCUGUGCCUUGUUUAGGUCCUGGUUGCUGCGAGUGGCUUUGAACCUCCUACUGCCCCAUCUGAUAGGGACCAAGUGGCUGUUCCUGAGUGUCCACUGCACCUGGGCCCCACACAAGUGCCCUGGUUAGUGCCACAUAACCGUGGGUGUGGGGCAAGGCCUGGGAGGGGCUGGCACUGCCCCAGGCCCCACUAGAGGACAGCCUCCCCUCCUGGGGUCAGGGGCUUAAACAGCCACGGUGCAGGUGGUCCGCAGUGGCUGCUGCUGCAUGAGUGGGUGUGGGGUAACUCAUCAGCAUCUGAUAAAUGCAGUGGUGAAUGUGUGGCCUGUGCGACAGUUGGGACCUGAGAGCUAUUUUAUUUGACCUAAAUUUAAAUGGCCUCAUAUGGUCAUGGAUACAGUACUGGCCUAUGCCUCCACAUCACUUGCAGCACAAGUCAUGGCUCACAGCCCAGAGUGUCACUGGUUUUCCCUGCUCUUUGCUGGCCUCCAGGAAGUUAAUUUUGGGAGUUGCAGAGUCCGUAGGGUUAGAGUCGUGGUUCUGCCAAAUGAGACACUGAGAGGCUUGUCACUUGCCCAGAGUCACACAGCCUUAAAAUUGGCGCCAGCUGUGAAACCAGACUUAGAAUCGUGCACCUUUCCGAGCUCUCUGCUGCCAGGUCCCCUUCACACCACCCGGGUUCAUGGUUGCAUUGAGAGCUAGUCAGGGUCACCAACCAGACUUGAGGGUCAAACUCCUGUGAGCCCAAUCUCUGCAGAGCAUGUGGCCCACGUUGAGGCUCACUGAGCAAGCUCUUGCCACAUGAGCUGCAUGGAAGUGCAUACAGGGCCCACCAUGUCCUCAGAUACCCACCUGCACCCACGCUUGUAUGGAAACAUGCAUAAACAAGCCAGCUGAACGCUGAGGCUCACACCUGUAAUCGAGUGCUUUGGGAGGAGGGGGCUUGCCUGAGCCAGGAAUUUGAGACCAGCCUGACCAAAAUACGGAGAAAACAAAUUUAGCCGGGCAUGAUGUAUACCUAUAGAGGCUGAAACAGGAUCACUUGAGACCAGCUCAAAGCUGCAGUGAGCUAUGCUCAUGCCGCUGUAUUCCAGCCUGGGCCACAAACCCUGUUUCUACCAAAACAAGUGCCAUGCAGGCAUACCUGCCUGUACAUAUUCCCACUUAGAUAUGUGCACAUUUGUGCUUGAAUGUGUGCCACAGACAAACCACCUGUGCAUGCACUAAGUGCAGAGACUUCAUGCACAUGAUGUGAACUCAUGGUUUUCAGGCCAGAGAACCCACCCAGCCCUUGGUCCCCAUGCACACAGGCGCACAGUAAGUCACAGAAGUCAGAGCAGUGAGUGAGCACACGUUGGGGUCCAGUGUCAGCUGGGGAUAGGGAAGUCCUGCUUUCUGACUCACACAGGCCCCCCAAAGGCCCGCAGGCAUCCUGGUCUCCAGGCCAGCAGGCCCAGCCCCAGGCUGAGCACCACCAGCACAGCCACAGCUCCUGCCAGCACGGGCACCACUGGGGCUGCAGGGAGAGCAUGGGUGUGAGUUCCAGGACUUGGGACCCUCCACUCCCACCCCAGCACAGAGCACUGUUACCUGGGGGGAUGGCAGCCUCAUAGGGGCCAUGGCAGGAGACCCCAUGGGCUGGAGGCCGGGCCGGAGCGGUCAGCUGGUGGAAGCGGCCUAGUGGACAGGGGACCGGACAUCCAGGGAGGCUGAGAGGCAGGGGCAGGUGGGCAGAGUUGUUGCGGUAGAAGAGAGAGACGGUGACAUUCCUGGAGAGAGAGGACACAGUGGCACCUCCUCCCUUUCCCUGUUAAUUGACCUUAAAACAGAGAAAGGGCUCCUGAUUCCCUCCUGUCUUCAUCCCAGAACCAUCCCACACAAUUCCCAGCCGGCCAUGCCCUCUGCCUUGCAUUUUACCCCUUGCUUUGAGGGUUCUUUCCCACCCAUCUCCCUGGAACCACCCGGUCCUCACCCUCCAUCUUCGUCAGGAUCCCCCAGGCGCCUCCGGAACUCAAAGCCAAGGCAGGCAGCAUACGGAGGGGUGUGUCCAUCAUAGAGACCCAGGGCCCCCUGGAGGGCCAGCAGGGUGCUGUCAUGCUGCAGAUGGACCCAAGGGCUGAGAUGGCACUUAUCUGGAGGUCUCCUUUCCCCUGAACACUAGGCUUGUGCAUCCAGAUGUCCCCAGGCUUCUUAGAACCAACUCCCCAAACCUGCUCCUCCCUCAUCCUGAAGGCGGUGCCAUCAGUUACAGGCGGUCAUUUAAUAAAGAUAACUCAAAUAGACGCACAAUAUGAUUGGACUAAGCAGCCUGUCCUUCCAGAGGGGCACUCCACAACAUCACCUCCCUCUCUCCAGACUCUGUACUUCUAAUGAUAUAGUCCAAGAGUAGGGUUUGGAGAUACUGGUUACCCAAGGCAGUGGGCUGAGGUCCGUUGGGAGCACAGACUUCCUCACCCAAAUUACUGUCAUCCUCCUCCCUAUGCCUCAGUGCUACAUGGCACUGCUUCCCAAGGACUCACAGCUGAGUACAUGACCAUCUUGAGGGGCAGCCCCAGUCGCUGGACCCGGGAGAAGUUUGCAAGGAUAGCAUUCAACAGGAUUCCUGAGGGUGGGGAAAAAGAGCUUGGAAUUCCCAGAGGAAGGCACCCCAGCCUCCCAGCCGCACACCUUACCUCCUGUCAGCUGGGCCUUUUCUGCUGCCCGAGGUGGGCCCACGUGGGCGCCAAUAUCCAAAGCUGAGAUCUGGGCAAGAGUCCGCAGGACAUCUGCGGAGGCCCAGGCUGGUAGGGGAAGACCAUGGGCUUGCUGUGGGGAGGCAAGGGGGAGGACAGAGAUGGACCAUCCUGAGCCCUCGAAUUCGCCUCUGGUCCCCCAGGCCUGUGCUGCCCCCUGCUCUUCUGAGUCCCCCAUGGGCUGAAUCUGGCUGGGAAAUCAUUUGAACAGCAGUGAUUAUUUUUAUUUUUUAAAUUGGAACCUUGCUCCAUCACCCAGGCUGGAGUGAAUUGGUGCGAUCUUGGCUCACCACAACCUUUGCCUCCUGAGUAGCUGGGAUUACAGGUGCCUGCUACCAUGUCCAGCUAAUUUUUGUAUUUUUAGUAGAGACCGUUUUACCAUGUUGAUCAGACUGGUCUCGAACUCCUGACCUCAGGUAAUCUUUCUGCCUUGGCCUCCCAAAGUGCUGGGAUUACAGGUGUGAGCCACCGUGCCCAGCCAACCGUGAUUAUUGAUAAUAGACAUUGUCAUUACACAGCCCAGAAGGCUUUAUCUGAAACUCAUGGAGCCAGAGGGGUUUCACAACUCAGACAUUCUGGACUUUAGAAAGGUCUGAUGGUGCUGAUACCACACAGCGGGGAACACACACAGCAAGGGCUGGGGCAGCCCCAUUAGUCACACACAUCGCUGCUUUCACCCUGCAAUUCGGAACAUUCCUAUGAGCUGGAGCGAGCAGACCAGCAAGAGUACUAGCUGGGUGUGGCGGCUCACGCCUUUACUCCCAGCACUUGGGGAAGCUGAGGUGGGAGGAUUGUUUGAGCCUAGGAGUUCUGGGCAACGUAGGGAGACCUCAUCUCUGCACACACACAAAAAAUUUUGGCUGGAUGCGGUGGCUCACACCUGUAAUCCCAACACUUUGAGAGACUUGAGGUGCGUAGAUCACCUGAGGUCAGCAGUUAAAGACCAGCCUGACCAAUGUGGAUAAGCUCCGUCUCUAUUAAAAAUACAAAAUUAGUUGGGCAUGGUGGCACAUGCCUGUAAUCCCAGCUACUCAGGAGGCUGAGGCAGGAGAAUCGCUUAAACCUGGGAAGCGAGAUUGCUGUGAGCCGAGACUGUGCCAUUGCACUUUAGCCUGGGCAACAAGAGUGAGACUUCAUCUAAAAAAAAAAGUAGUGUUGUUUUUUAAUUAGCCAGGCAUGGUGGUGUGCACCUGAGGCAGGAGCAUUCCUUUAGCCAGAGAGAUGGAGGCUGCAGUGAGCUACGAUAGUGCCACUGCAUUUUACCCUGGGUGAGAGAGUGAGACCCUGUCUCAAGAAAGAAAGGGAAAAAAAGGAAGGAAGAAGGGAGGGAGGGAGCAUUGCAUCACUGCAGGUCAGCUCCCGCUGCCCAGGUUUUAGGUUUUGUGGGAAGUAAAGUUCCUUUUUAAAGUUUCCUUUCUUGUUAAAGAAUAAGCAUGCUAAUAGCUUUGUUAAGCCCUAUCCUAUGUAGCUGUUAGACAUGCCAUGCUUACAGGCACGUAGUACGUUCUGUUUCCUUAUACUCUAACCAAAAUAUCUGUGUACCUGUUUAGAAAAGGUUUAUUAGCCAGUCGGGUUUUCGUUUAGAUUGUGAGGUCUGGCUCCAGCUCACGGAGAUCAGACACAGCAGUAAGGACAACCCCAAAUGUUUAAGGGAUAAAUUUGUGUGUUUUCCUUUGUUUUCUGUACUCCCGUGGCAGGAUGGCUAGUAAGAGUACCCUUCCUGCCAUCCAGGAAGUAAAAAUUGCGUUGUUGAAA
RNA transcript from Callithrix jacchus (white-tufted-ear marmoset), 7343 nucleotides. RefSeq lists it as uncharacterized. The record is from RefSeq and is a predicted model, not a curated record. Lineage: Eukaryota; Metazoa; Chordata; Mammalia; Primates; Cebidae.